GAGAUAGAAAGUUACUUCGGUACAUCGGUGACAGGUGGUGCAUGGUUGUCGUCAGCUCGUGUCGUGAGAUGUUGGGUUAAGUCCCGCAACGAGCGCAACCCCUAUUGUUAGUUGCCAUCAUUCAGUUGGGCACUCUAGCGAGACUGCCGGUAAUAAACCGGAGGAAGUGGGGAUGACGUCAAAUCAUCAUGCCCCUUAUGACCUGGGCUACACACGUGCUACAAUGGUUGGUACAACGAGUUGCGAGUCGGUGACGGCGAGCUAAUCUCUUAAAGCCAAUCUCAGUUCGGAUUGUAGGCUGCAACUCGCCUACAUGAAGUCGGAAUCGCUAGUAAUCGCGGAUCAGCACGCCGCGGUCGAAUACGUUCCCGGGCCUU
Molecule: ribosomal RNA, 377 nt
Filed under: uncultured Streptococcus sp.
Lineage: Bacteria; Bacillati; Bacillota; Bacilli; Lactobacillales; Streptococcaceae
Description: bacterial SSU rRNA
Rfam family: Bacterial small subunit ribosomal RNA
Source: RNAcentral